This 497-nucleotide ribosomal RNA is filed under the name uncultured bacterium. RNAcentral's name for it is "partial 16S ribosomal RNA". It matches the Rfam family "Bacterial small subunit ribosomal RNA", at positions 28 to 507 of the family's 1533-position model. The record is from RNAcentral.
GAUGAACGCUGGCGGCGUGCCUAAUACAUGCAAGUCGAGCGAACGGACGAGAAUCUUGCUUCUCUGAUGUUAGCGGCGGACGGGUGAGUAACACGUGUAUAACCUACCUAUAAGACUGGGAUAACUUCGGGAAACCGGAGCUAAUACCGUAUAAUAUUUUGAACCGCAUGGUUCAAAAGUGAAAGACGGUCUUGCUGUCACUUAUAGAUGGAUCCGCGCUGCAUUAGCUAGUUGGUAAGGUAACGGCUUACCAAGGCAACGAUGCAUAGCCGACCUGAGAGGGUGAUAGGCCACACUGGAACUGAGACACGGACAAGACUACUACGGGAGGCCGCAGUAGGGAAUCUUACGCAAUGGGCGAAAGUCUGACGGAGCAACGCCGCGUGAGUGAUGAAGGUGUUCGGAUCGUAAAACUCUGUUAUUAGGGAAGAACAUAUGUGUAAGUAACUGUGCACAUAUUGACGGUACCUAAUAAGAAAGCAACGGCUAGCUACGUG